GCGGUCAGUGCCAGCCCCCUCAACCAGCACAUCUGCAGGCUCAGCUCCCCAGCCUGCCUCGGACACGACGGAGGUCGCCUCCGUGGACUGCACCGCCACCUCCCCCGCCCGCCACUCACGGAGCCUCCUGAUGGGCAGCCGCACCUCGGACAGCUCCGACCAGGGUGGAAAACCCCCGGCAGCUCAGCUCCAGCUCCAGCUGCGGCCCCCACCUCGGCUCCAGGCCAGCGAGCCUUGGGAAGCGCCACACCUCUCCACCCCUCCCCCCAGUCAGGAGAAAUCUGCCUCUCCAAGCAGGUCCCAUGCUAGACAACUGAAUUACUCACCAUAUGUUCCUGCCGGCUUUCCAGUUGCUGCCCCAGUGGUGGAGCUGAGAGCCUGUGAUUCCGUUGGUGGGCUGGCUAACGGACUCUGACGCCAGAAGAGGUUCGGGCCCACACAAGCGGUGGCCGCUGACGCAGGGACCCUGUCCCCACACGUAACAACCUUUGACUCAGAAGCCUGCUGUGCAGGCGCCGAAUCCCGAUGACAUGCGCUCUUUAGGCUUUCUUCUGUAGGUCAAAGGUAAAAGAGACGGUUUGACAAGGACUGAUGUGGCUCUUGGUGAAUGCUCUGGCCCACAAGGUAAGCCAGUUUAUGGGCAUAGUGACAAGGAGCAGGAACUCGGAUGAUACCCUUUAGUUUAAAGGAGAAAAAAAAAAUUUUUUUAACGUCAUAUCUACUUUCCCUAAAUUUCAAUGUUCAUAGAUAUGAAUUCAAGGUUCAAAAAGUCUAAAUUCAAUGUUGACCAAGUUCACAGAUCUGAAGGAAAAUCGGUAUCAAA
Long non-coding RNA from Hipposideros armiger (great roundleaf bat), 823 nucleotides. RefSeq lists it as uncharacterized. The transcript is spliced from 3 exons. NCBI's taxonomy places the organism in Eukaryota, Metazoa, Chordata, Mammalia, Chiroptera, Hipposideridae. The record is from RefSeq and is a predicted model, not a curated record.